AGAUUGAACGCUGGCGGCAUGCCUAACACAUGCAAGUCGAACGGGAGUAGCAAUACUCUAGUGGCGGACGGGUGAGGAAUACGUAGGAAUUUGCCCUUAAGUGGGGGAUAACCCGGGGAAACCCGGAUUAAUACCGCAUGACCUCGAAAGCGCAAAGUGGGGGAUCGCAAGACCUCACGCUUUUGGAGAAGCCUACGUCGGAUUAGCUAGUUGGUGAGGUAAUGGCUCACCAAGGCGACGAUCCGUAACUGGUCUGAGAGGAUGAUCAGUCACACCGGAACUGAGACACGGUCCGACUCC
RNAcentral lists this ribosomal RNA (300 nucleotides) under uncultured soil bacterium. Its description in RNAcentral is "bacterial SSU rRNA". It matches the Rfam family "Bacterial small subunit ribosomal RNA", at positions 26 to 339 of the family's 1533-position model. The record is from RNAcentral.